Non-coding RNA from Chlorocebus sabaeus (green monkey), 2549 nucleotides. NCBI's taxonomy places the organism in Eukaryota, Metazoa, Chordata, Mammalia, Primates, Cercopithecidae. The record is from RefSeq and is a predicted model, not a curated record.
UGGUUAUUUUGCUAAUAUCCUAUUUCUGGCAAUUAAACUACUAUGUCUCCUUUGGGAAAUCACGAGGGUGGGUAUGUGCCCCAUCUGCUUAUGCAGAGGGUGGAGGACCAGGCAGAAUCGGGAGGUCUGAGCUGGCCUCCCUCUGCACCCCGCCCCAGGCACCUGCCUCCUCUCCAGCUUAUCUCCCCCAUCCCCUUCCCAGGUUGCCAUUGACAACCUGCCAUUCUCAGAGCAUGCUUCUGAGCUGCCAAGUCUUCACACCUGCUGGCUCCUCCACCUGAAUGCCCUUCUCUCCAUCCUCUUCCUGGAAACCCCAACUGAUGCAGGAUACAGUUCAGUCAUCACCUCCUUCAUCCAGUCUUCUCUACUUCUUUGUCUUAACAUUGAAAUGGCCAGCAUGUUCUUCUACCUGCCCGCUAGACAUGCAGGCCUAAGGUCCCGGGAGGCAGAUGCCGACAGAUGCAUCUCAGUAUGCCUGGCACCUCCACCCCACAGGGGCUGUGCUGGUUGCUGUUGGAAUGCUGCAGGGCACAAAACGGAUAAUGCUGGAGGGAGAAGACAGACAGCAAACACAAGGCUCAAGAAACUCUAGUAUGUAAGAAGAGGACACACAUGAUGGAAGAGGGAAGCCGCCAUGCAGAGUGCCUGGUGCACUUUUAAAUGGGAGAGUCAAGGGAUCAUCCCGGCAGCUAUGUAGAGCAUUACUAUAUGGGUCAAGUACCGCAGCAGGGACAGCAAUUAGUAGGCUACUGCAAGAGUCCAGAUGAGGAAACUGAGGCUUGGAGUCUCAUUAAGCGACCUAACCAAAAGUUACCCAAGGGAAAAUUGGCUGGUGGAGAUUUGAAUCCUGGUCUCCUGCCUUCCUUUAGACACUUGGGGUGCUCCCGAGUCUGCAUUUGGAGAAGGGAAUAGCAUUAAGGUAUCAGCUGAAGCUUCUCAGCUUGAAAUUCUAGUCCUCUUCCAGAGGCCAGAUGUUAGGCUGGUGUCAUGGGGCUCUCUGCUGAGUCCUAGGCUGGGAACAGAGAGGGAAGGGACUCUGUUACCAAAUCCCAGACCGGGCACUCCCAGGGAGUCCCUUCCUCCCCACCUGCCUGGCAUCUGGCCUCCGCCAGCUCCUGCCUGGCUGCCAGAUGUACCAGCUGUGGCUCCUCUCCACGGAGAGUCUCAUUUAUUAAUUAACGUGGACGCCAAGGGGGCAACUUCUCAGACCCAGCCUCAGAGCAGAUCUUGGCACAUUUUUCAGACUUUGUUUAAUAAUUUAUCAUCUUUUAAUCAUAAAAAUAAUUAGCACAAGAGCGAUAAUCUGUGCUCUGCUGAGAGCAGACCAACGGAGGAAUUUUCAGACAGUUCCAGAACCCAGAAAGCAGAGCUUUGGCAGCGAGGAGAGGAAGGUUGGCUCCAGGCCAGGUGUCCUCUCCAGGACUGGUCCCUGGGAGUCAGAUGUCAAAGAUGCCGUCUGGCUUUUGGGGGAACUCGAGGACCAUGCUGCUUUCCCAGGAAUUUGAGGCUCCUGCUCCUAACUUUGACCUGGCUCACUGGAUAGCUCUCUGGGAAGUUCCUUCUCUCUCUGGGUCUUAAUUUUCCCACCUGUAAAAUGGGAGUUCAAUUAGACAAUGAGCAAGGACACUUUUGUUUAAGGCGCCAUGAUCCAAUGAGAUAGCAAAUGAGAAGCAGUGGCUGUGGCAGUAAAGACAGUGAGCUGGAGUGCCCAUGAGAGCCAUGAAGCCUUCCGCAGUCCCCGCCGCCUCCCACCCCCGUCGGCUUCUGCAUCCCCAGGUGCUCAAAGAGCCCUGGGACAGACUCAGUUCCAUCAGGUAUAAGCCAUGUGGCCUGGGGCAAGUCCAUCCCCUCUGUGAGCCUGAGUUUACUCAGCUGAAAAGAAAGAGUGAUCGCUCACAGCUCUCCCAGAGAAGAUCCAAGGGAGAGGAUGAUGGGGUUGCCCCUUGGAGACAUUGAUCUCAUUCUGCCCCACAUUUAACUGCCACUCCCCGUCCAGACUUUGGGUUCUAGAGGGCGGGGCAGGACUGCCUCAUCCUCUGUGCCUAAUAGCCCUGGUAGUGACCAAAUGAACUAAAUGUCCUGCCAAUUCCAGCAACCUGUCUUGAGAUUGUUCGACCUGUACAGGCAGACACAUCCUCCUCACAGGGUGGCAGCAAGGUCCAGUGACUCUGGAUAAAACCACAGUAGUUCAAGAAAGCGACUCCUCCUCUUCUUGUGGGGUCUUGUGCAAGCUGCUUUGCCUCCAGCUGCCUCAGCCUCUUCAUGUGAAAUUGGGGAUAUCUGUCUCAGAUUGGAGGUCCCCAGAAGCAGACCCAGAGACAAGAAUUCAAGAUCAAGUCAUUUAUUUAAGAAGAGAUCCUGGAAGCUCCAAUAGGGAGUGAAGAGGUGAGACUGGGAAGGGGAGGAGAGCAACGAAAGGCGGGUGAAUUAGCUGGUGACCACGCUGGACCCAGGCCCACUGGGGCCAUCUCAAGGGUUGGCAAACUACAGCCCACAGGCCAAAUCAGGCCUGCCUCCUGAUUUUGUAAAUAAAGUUUUAUUGGAACACA